UGGGAGCCAUGGAAAGGUUGAGGUGUAGA
This 29-nucleotide non-coding RNA is filed under the name Mus musculus (house mouse). Lineage: Eukaryota; Metazoa; Chordata; Mammalia; Rodentia; Muridae. The record is from RNAcentral.